Balaenoptera ricei (Rice's whale) is the source of this 2213-nucleotide long non-coding RNA. RefSeq lists it as uncharacterized. NCBI's taxonomy places the organism in Eukaryota, Metazoa, Chordata, Mammalia, Artiodactyla, Balaenopteridae. The record is from RefSeq and is a predicted model, not a curated record. The transcript has 7 exons.
CACCUUGAUUUCCUGAGCCAGCUGCUGCCCCGUGAGCAGGCGUCUGUCCCACCGGGCCGCGGGGCGCCCCUCGCUCCAGUAGCCCUGGCAGCGGCUCUUGGCGUGCAGGGGGGCCGCGCUCAGCACGUCGGCCACGUAGGCGCGGAGGUGGCCAGCAUCGUCAUCUGUGUCUGAGGAAGAGAGUCCUCAUGCAGAGGCGCCUGAUAUUCCAGGUCUGUAUCCUUCAGCUCCUGGAAGGCCGUGAGGAUCUGGAACCAAGGAGAACAAGGUGGAAGAGGGUCUGUGAAGGCAAAGAGACACUGGGAAGACCCCGGAACACGGCCACCUGUGUGGAGGCAGGGGUGCACACUGAGGGGUCAGCCUGCCGCGCCCCCGAGCAGGAAGGGAUGGCUCCACAUCCAGAGGCCCCUGGUGAGGCUGUUGGCUCCCCACCGGAAGCCCUGCCCGGAGCCCCCUCCCCUCGGCCAGCCGCCCUCGCCGGGCUCCUGUGGGGCAGAGAAGCAGAGCAUCCGUUGGCCCAUCUGGCCCCCUCCCCUCCCCAAGCCAGGCUGGGUCCCUGCCCCAGCCCCCAGCCCCCGUCCCAGCCCCGCCCUCACCAGGCCGGGCAGGCCCUGAAGCAGGUGGUUUAGGAGGAAGGUCUUCCCUGAGUACCGCUCUCCCAGGACAGCAAGGAGGCAGACGGGGGUGUCCCUGGCCAGCGGGUGCUUCAGGCAGCGGUUGAUGGCCCCCAUCCUCAGGAUGAGGCCCCCGGAGGCGUUGACGCGCACCAGCAGCAGCGGCUCGGCCCUCACCGCGCAGGUCUCCUGGGCCCGGAGACAGGGCUCCCUGAGCACCCAGGCUGGGGCGCGUCCACCCGAGCCCCGCCUCCCUCCCGGACACCCCGGUGUGAGGUCAAAGCCCCCGGUGGGGACGAGGCCUGCGCACCUGCAGCGCGGUGGGCAGCGGCCUCCGCGGCAGGAGCCGCAUCCUCUCCCCCAGGCCCCGGAGGCCCUUCUUCUGCUUGCAGGUCUUGCGGCACUCGGGGCAGCAGGGCGGCCCGCAGCCGGGGACACGGUGGGUGCUGAAGCACCGCGGGCAGAAGUCGUGGCCGCAGUCCAGAGAGAUGGGCUCACGCGGCCUCUCCAGGCAGAUGGAGCAGGCGGGCGGCUCCCGGGGCGCCACAGGCCGGGACCCCAGCCCCAGCUCCAACUUGGGGAACGCCUGGCAGCCCCAACCUCGCGCUGCCUCCCCUGGGGCAGGCCUCCAGGCCCCAGUCCCGCCGCCAGGCCCUGCCACUUACCAACUGUUCCUGCUGUUGCCCAUGAAGCUCUGUUUUCUCUCCUUGGGGAGAAAUUGGGGAGAAAAAAAAUCCCAAAAAUGUUAUUUAGAAGGGAAUCCAGACUUCUAUCUUCAUCCUGGAUUCCAGGCGCCCCCAUCCUCCCUCUGCAGACCCCCCAGGUCUCAGGACCAAAGACUCGCCUGUUUGCCAAGCCGGUGACAAAAGGAAAUGACUGACAAGGCAGACCUCGGCAUGGGAGGCUGGCGUGGGGAGAGGGUCCGGGAGAGGGUCCGGGAGCAGGGAGGACACCCAGGAGACCUUUGGCGGCGCUGAGGAUGGCUUUCCUCCCGGAAGGGCUGGCGGAGCUGUGGCCAGUGGAGGCUGGGGGGGGGGUCUCCCCAGAGGACACAAGUCGGCAGGGCUGGAAAAUGGAUGUGACAGUCGGGAGAGAGGAGGCUGCCUCUGGACUCACCCCAGGGGGAGGAGACAGGACUGCGGGAACCAGGGCUCCGGAGGGAGGGACGGAGCCGGGCCCAGAAUCCCUGGCAGAGGCUGGGAUGCAGGCAAGCCGGGGUGAUGACGAAACUGAGGCCAGAGAGGUUAAGUCUCUUUCCAAGGUCACACAGCUGUGAGUGACGGUGCUGGAAUCCCGACCCAGGCCAUCAGUCCCCCCACCCAGCCACCCAGCCACCCCUGUACCCGUCCGUCUUCUCAUCCAUCAGCCUCCAGCGUGUCUGCCCAUCCAGUCACCCGUCCUUACGCUUCUCCGUCCAGAGGACAGGCCUCACCAAGGCGCGCCUGUGCCAGGCCACCUCGUGUGAACAUCAGAGACCCGGUCGGGCCGCGUCGGGGGAAGGAGGAGCGGGUCCCGGAGCCGUGGGAUGACAGAGCUGGAGGGAGGUGCCCUAUUUGGCUGCCAUCUUCUAGCUUCGAAUAAAGACCAAGUUGAAGCCAA